CAUUUAGAAAUAAUAUUUUAAGGACACGGAUUUAAGGUGAUGAUCAUCGGUAAAAGUAAGAGUGGUAAAAGCAGCCUGGGCAACUACCUUCUCAACACCUCCGCCUUCAGUGUCUCCCCUGGACCGACAUCAGCCACCACUUACACCGUGACGCGGUCAGCUGAGAUAGAUGGCGUGGCCAUCACAGUGACUGACACACCUGACGUGAGAAAUCUUGGUAUCGUCAAGACGUCUGCCGAGGAAGAAAUAAAACAAUGGUAUGCUUUUCAUCCUGACAUCAUUUUGAUGGCCAUUCGGUGGGAUGUGUGCUAUUCAUCCGAGGAACACCAGAUGUACCAGCAAAUUAAGAAAGCCUUGGGAGAGAAAUAUUUCACUUCAAUACUAAUAGUGGCCUUUACCUUUGGAGAUCGCCUGGGCAAAAACAUUGACGAAGAACUAAAAACAGUUUGCUCAGAGGUGAAAGAUGUGCUUAAAGAGGCAGGACAUCGCUACAUUGUGUUCAGCAACGAGGAUCCAGUACAGGACAGGAAGACACAGUUCAUGCGUCUUAGAGCGUUUGCCUUUAAUGAAGGUGCUCCAUUUGAAUGCAAUGAAAGGCACUCUGAGAGUAGAACUGCGAUCAAACCAACAGUUCAAGGAGCAUCAGAGAAGCACCAUGGUGAUAAGUUUCAGCCCUUGAAAACAGUAAAAGUUUUCACAUGCGAAACAGAUUUUCAAAGUAGAGUCAGCGCCCAGUCCUAUGUCGAAACGUCUUAUUACCAGGGAUAUGAAAAGGAAAUGAAAGAAAGGUCAACAUUCUGUGACGCUCUAGACGAUGAACGCUACAACUUGGUUCUCUUUGGAAAGACGGGCAGCGGGAAAAGUUCUUUGGGUAACAUGCUGCUGGGUAAGGAUGAGUUUAAAGUACAACAAGGAAUGAAGUCUGGAACUCAAUCAUCCGAUUGGGGUCAAGCUACAAUUAACGGAGUUAAACUCGAGAUUACGGAUUUACCAGGACUGAGUGACACACAUCGCCAAGAGGAAGAAAUCAUACGGGAAAUUGCAAAGGGCACGGCGCUGGUUUCUCCUGGACCCCAUGUGGCUAUUUUUGUCAUUGCGGGUAGUCGUCGUUUCUUAAAGGCAAUAUCACUGAAAGACAUUUUACUGCCACAAGUUUACCUAAUCUCCUUCUACAUCGUUUUUUCUUCCUUUACCUUCGCAUCAAAUAGCUUGGAGGUAGAAAAGAAGCACUAUCCCAUGCAAUCAUAAAUGCUCCUGAUAGUAUCCAACUAAUUCUUAAAGAAGUGGGCUAUCGGUACAUUGCAAUCGAAAAUUCUGCAUCCGAGAAGGAUAAGAAACAACAAAGAGACGAGGCCCUGCAAGCUAUUAGGAGCCUGUGCGAAAAGAACCAAGGGAGGUACUAUGCUGUUCCAAAGGAGAUACACAGGCUCAUUGAGAAAGCAGAAGAAGAUAAGGUGAAGGCACAGAGAUGCACCAUGAACGAAGCAGCACAAAAUCUGAGGAAGGAAAUAG
RNAcentral lists this unclassified non-coding RNA (1512 nucleotides) under Pomacea canaliculata. Its description in RNAcentral is "uncharacterized LOC112574531, transcript variant X1". The record is from RNAcentral. Lineage: Eukaryota; Metazoa; Mollusca; Gastropoda; Architaenioglossa; Ampullariidae.